This 267-nucleotide ribosomal RNA is filed under the name Lactococcus lactis. Its description in RNAcentral is "partial 16S ribosomal RNA". It matches the Rfam family "Bacterial small subunit ribosomal RNA", at positions 1 to 257 of the family's 1533-position model. Lineage: Bacteria; Bacillati; Bacillota; Bacilli; Lactobacillales; Streptococcaceae. The record is from RNAcentral.
UUUAUUUGAGAGUUUGAUCCUGGCUCAGGACGAACGCUGGCGGCGUGCCUAAUACAUGCAAGUUGAGCGCUGAAGGUUGGUACUUGUACCGACUGGAUGAGCAGCGAACGGGUGAGUAACGCGUGGGGAAUCUGCCUUUGAGCGGGGGACAACAUUUGGAAACGAAUGCUAAUACCGCAUAAAAACUUUAAACACAAGUUUUAAGUUUGAAAGAUGCAAUUGCAUCACUCAAAGAUGAUCCCGCGUUGUAUUAGCUAGUUGGUGAGG